This 467-nucleotide ribosomal RNA is filed under the name uncultured bacterium. Its description in RNAcentral is "partial 16S ribosomal RNA". It matches the Rfam family "Bacterial small subunit ribosomal RNA", at positions 28 to 507 of the family's 1533-position model. The record is from RNAcentral.
GACGAACGCUGGCGGCGUGCUUAACACAUGCAAGUCGAACGGAAAGGCCUCUUUCGGGGGGUACUCGAGUGGCGAACGGGUGAGUAACACGUGAGUAACCUGCCCUUGACUUUGGGAUAACUUCAGGAAACUGGGGCUAAUACCGGAUAGGAGCUCCUGCUGCAUGGUGGGGGUUGGAAAGUUUCGGCGGUUGGGGUUGGACUCGCGGCUUAUCAGCUUGUUGGUGGGGUAGUGGCUUACCAAGGCUUUGACGGGUAGCCGGCCUGAGAGGGUGACCGGCCACAUUGGGACUGAGAUACGGCCCAGACUCCUACGGGAGGCAGCAGUGGGGAAUAUUGCACAAUGGGUGGAAGCCUGAUGCAGCAACGCCGUGUGCGGGAUGACGGCCUUCGGGUUGGAAACCGCUUUCGCUCAUGACGAAGCUUUGUGUGACGGUAGUGGGUAAAGAAGCACCGGCUAACUACGUG